RNAcentral lists this ribosomal RNA (253 nucleotides) under uncultured bacterium. RNAcentral's name for it is "partial 16S ribosomal RNA". It matches the Rfam family "Bacterial small subunit ribosomal RNA", at positions 524 to 776 of the family's 1533-position model. The record is from RNAcentral.
UACGUAGGGUGCAGGCGUUAAUCGGAAUUACUGGGCGUAAAGCGUGCGCAGGCGGUUUCUUAAGUCAGAUGUGAAAGCCCCGGGCUUAACCUGGGAACUGCGUUUGAAACUGGGGAGCUGGAGUGUAGAAGAGGGGGGUGGAAUUCCAGGUGUAGCAGUGAAAUGCGUAGAGAUCUGGAGGAACACCGAUGGCGAAGGCAGCCCCCUGGGCUAACACUGACGCUCAUGCACGAAAGCGUGGGGAGCAAACAGG